UGAGGAAUAUUGGUCAAUGGGCGAGAGCCUGAACCAGCCAAGUCGCGUGAGGGAAGACGGUCCUAUGGAUUGUAAACCUCUUUUGCCGGGGAGCAAAGAGCGGCACGUGUGCCGCGCCGAGAGUACCCGGAGAAAAAGCAUCGGCUAACUCCGUGCCAGC
This 160-nucleotide ribosomal RNA is filed under the name uncultured bacterium. RNAcentral's name for it is "partial 16S ribosomal RNA". It matches the Rfam family "Bacterial small subunit ribosomal RNA", at positions 355 to 512 of the family's 1533-position model. The record is from RNAcentral.